RNAcentral lists this ribosomal RNA (1545 nucleotides) under Elaeis guineensis (African oil palm). RNAcentral describes it as "bacterial LSU rRNA". It matches the Rfam family "Bacterial large subunit ribosomal RNA", at positions 1144 to 2682 of the family's 2925-position model. Lineage: Eukaryota; Viridiplantae; Streptophyta; Magnoliopsida; Arecales; Arecaceae. The record is from RNAcentral.
ACUGGUCAAGACAGGCCGCGCCGAAAAUGUAACGGGGCUCAAGACUAGUGCCGAAGCUUCGGGUCGCACGUAAAGCGUGUGGCGGUAGGGGAGCGUCCCAGUUGCAGCGAAGGUCGACUGAAAAGGCGGCUGGAGCGACUGGGAGUGCUGAUGCCGAAAUGAGUAGCGAUAAAGGGGGUGAGAAACCCCCUCGCCGUAAGCCCAAGGUUUCCUGGGUCAAGUUAAUCUUCCCAGGGUUAGUCGGAACCUAAGCCGAGGCCGAAAGGCGUAGGUGAUGGAAAGCGGGUUAAUAUUCCUGCGCCAUCUUGUGAGCGUUGAACUAAGGGAGGACGGAGAAAGCUAGGCGAGCUGACCGGUGGUUGUGUCAGUCUAAAGGCGUAGGGGUGUCGCGUACGAAUAAAAGGCGCGGCAGCUAUCCCCGAGACCCAUGGCGCCCCGUAAGGGGUAAGUCGUGAUGCUCUGCUUCCAAGAAAAGUCCCGUAGGGAGCUUCAGGGUGUCCGUACCGUAAACCGACACAGGUGGGUGAGGAGAAAAUCCUAAGGCGCUUGAGAGAACUCUCCUCCAAGGAACUAGGCAAAUUUCCACCGUAACUUCGGAAGAAGGUGGGCCCCUGGUAGGUGAAGGCGUACAGCCGGAGCCAGAGGGGUUGCAGAGAAAUGGCGGUAGCGACUGUUUACCAAAAACACAGGACUCUGCGAAGGCAAGAAGCCGACGUAUAGGGUCUGACUCCUGCCCGGUGCUGGAAGGUUAAGAGGGGAUGUCAUCCGCAAGGAGAAGCAUUGAAUCGAAGCCCCAGUAAACGGCGGCCGUAACAAUAACGGUCCUAAGGUAGCGAAAUUCCUUGUCGGGUAAGUUCCGACCUGCACGAAUGGUGUAACGAUCUGGGCGCUGUCUCAGCCAUGAGCUCGGUGAAAUUGUGGUACCGGUGAAGACGCCGGUUACCCGCAACGGGACGGAAAGACCCCAUGAACCUUCACUACAGCUUAACAUUGGGACUGGGUGCGUGAUGUGUAGGAUAGGCGGGAGCCAUUGAAUCCGGUUCGCCAGGAUCGGAGGAGGCAACCUUGAAAUACCGCCCUUUGCGUAUCCGGUUCCUAAUCCCGAAGACUCGGGAGACACUGUUUGGUGGGUAGUUUGACUGGGGUGGUCGCCUCCAAAAAGGUAACGGAGGCUUUCAAAGGUAAGCUCAGUACGCUUGGUAACCGUACGUGGAGUGCAAUGGCAUAAGCUUGCUUGACUGUGAGGCAACAAGCCGACAGGGUCGAAAGACGGAUAUAGUGAUCCGGUGGUUCUGCAUGGAAGGGCCAUCGCUCAAAGGAUAAAAGGUACGCUGGGGAUAACAGGCUGAUCUCCCCCAAGAGCUCAUAUCGACGGGGAGGUUUGGCACCUCGAUGUCGGCUCGUCACAUCCUGGGGCUGGAGAAGGUCCCAAGGGUUCGGCUGUUCGCCGAUUAAAGUGGCACGCGAGCUGGGUUCAGAACGUCGCGAGACAGUUCGGUCCCUAUCUGUUGUGGGCGUAGGAAUUUGAGUGGGGCUGACCUUAGU